Molecule: microRNA, 23 nt
Filed under: Macaca mulatta (Rhesus monkey)
Lineage: Eukaryota; Metazoa; Chordata; Mammalia; Primates; Cercopithecidae
Also listed under: 3 other names
Description: mml-miR-412-3p
Gene: mml-miR-412-3p
Source: miRBase by way of RNAcentral
ACUUCACCUGGUCCACUAGCCGU